This 62-nucleotide transfer RNA is filed under the name Nephus sp. 1 EL-2020. Its description in RNAcentral is "tRNA-Ala". Lineage: Eukaryota; Metazoa; Arthropoda; Insecta; Coleoptera; Coccinellidae. The record is from RNAcentral.
AGGAUAAUAGUUAAAUUAACAUUAAAUUUGCAAUUUAAAAAUACUGUUCUCAGUUUAUCUUA